GACGAACGCUGGCGGCGUGCUUAACACAUGCAAGUCGAGCGGUAAGGCCCUUUCGGGGGUACACGGGCGGCGAACGGGUGAGUAACACGUGGGUGACCUGCCCUCAGCUCUGGGAUAAGCCUGGGAAACCGGGUCUAAUACUGGAUAUGACUCCAUGACGCAUGUUGUGGGGUGAAAGCCUUGUGCGGCUGAGGAUGGGCCCGCGGCCUAUCAGCUUGUUGGUGGGGUNAUGGCCUACCAAGGCGACGACGGGUAGCCGGCCUGAGAGGGCGACCGGCCACACUGGGACUGAGACACGGCCCAGACUCCUACGGGAAGCAGCAGUGGGGAAUCUUGCGCAAUGGGCGAAAGCCUGACGCAGCGACGCCGCGUGAGGGAUGACGGCCUGGUGU
This 392-nucleotide ribosomal RNA is filed under the name uncultured bacterium. RNAcentral's name for it is "bacterial SSU rRNA". It matches the Rfam family "Bacterial small subunit ribosomal RNA", at positions 28 to 422 of the family's 1533-position model. The record is from RNAcentral.